AGAACGAACGCUGGCGGCAUGCCUAACACAUGCAAGUCGAACGCUCCUGGGGCUUCGGUUUCAAGGGAGUGGCGCACGGGUGAGUAGCGCGUGGGAACCUGCCCUGUUGUGGGGGAUAACCGAGGGAAACUUCGGCUAAUACCGCAUAAGCCGGUUGUCUUGAAAGAGAUGGCCGGGAAAGAUUUAUCGCGACAGGAGGGGCCCGCGUCGGAUUAGCUAGUUGGUGGGGUAACGGCCCACCAAGGCUGUGAUCCGUAGCUGGUCUGAGAGGAUGAUCAGCCACACUGGGACUGAGACACGGCCCAGACUCCUACGGGAGGCAGCAGUGGGGGAAUAUUGGACAAUGGGCGCAAGCCUGAUCCAGCAAUGCCGCGUGAGUGAUGAAGGCCUUAGGGUUGUAAAGCUCUUUCGCCCGCGACGAUGAUGACGGUAGCGGGAGAAGAAGCCCGGCUAACUCGUGCCAGCAGCCGC
Molecule: ribosomal RNA, 471 nt
Filed under: uncultured bacterium
Lineage: Bacteria
Description: SSU rRNA
Rfam family: Bacterial small subunit ribosomal RNA
Source: RNAcentral